GGAUGUGAGGGCGAUCUGGCUGCUACAUCUGUCACCUCAUUGAUCGCCAGGGUUGAUUCGCCUGAUCUGGCCAGCUAGGCAGGUGUCCCCUUCCUCCCUCAACUAUCCAUGUGCAUCCCUCCUGAAGCUGCAUGCUCCAUGGAAGAGAACGACCACCCCCGAUAGAGGAGGACCAUUCCUUGGUCAAGGGUAUACUAAAACCUCCAAACAAGCUCUCAAGAAUUAUAGCUAGCAAUCACAAAAGAAAAAUUGGAAUAGAUGUUCUUUAUCU
RNAcentral lists this small nuclear RNA (271 nucleotides) under Octodon degus (degu). RNAcentral describes it as "7SK RNA (ENSODEG00000023118.1)". It matches the Rfam family "7SK RNA". Rfam says of the family: 7SK was discovered as an abundant small nuclear RNA in the mid-70s but a possible function has only recently been suggested. Two independent studies have found that 7SK RNA binds the CDK9/cyclin T complex (known as elongation factor P-TEFb). The record is from Rfam by way of RNAcentral. Lineage: Eukaryota; Metazoa; Chordata; Mammalia; Rodentia; Octodontidae.